GACGAACGCUGGCGGUGUGCUUAACACAUGCAAGUCGAACGGUAAGGCCCUUUCGGGGGUACACGAGUGGCGCACGGGUGAGUAACACGUGAGUAACCUGCCCUCAUCUCUGGGAUAACAGUCGGAAACGGUUGCUAAUACUGGAUAUGAGCCUGCAAGGCAUCUUGUGGGUUGGAAAGAUUUUUUGGUUGGGGAUGGACUCGCGGCCUAUCAGCUUGUUGGUGAGGUAGUGGCUCACCAAGGCUUCGACGGGUAGCCGGCCUGAGAGGGCGACCGGCCACAUUGGGACUAAGAUACGGCCCAAACUCCUACGGGAGGCAGCAGUGGGGAAUAUUGCACAAUGGACGGAAGUCUGAUGCAGCAACGCCGCGUGCGGGAUGACGGCCUUCGGGUUGUAAACCGCUUUCAAUUGUGACGAAGCUUUUUGUGACGGUAGCAGUAGAAGAAGCACCGGCUAACUACGUG
This 465-nucleotide ribosomal RNA is filed under the name uncultured bacterium. Its description in RNAcentral is "partial 16S ribosomal RNA". It matches the Rfam family "Bacterial small subunit ribosomal RNA", at positions 28 to 507 of the family's 1533-position model. The record is from RNAcentral.